Ictidomys tridecemlineatus (thirteen-lined ground squirrel) is the source of this 69-nucleotide non-coding RNA. NCBI's taxonomy places the organism in Eukaryota, Metazoa, Chordata, Mammalia, Rodentia, Sciuridae. The record is from Rfam.
GGGAUUGUAGCUCAGUGGUAGAGUGCUUGCCUCACAUGCAUGAGGCCCCGGGUUCGACCUUCAGCACCA